GGGGGUUUAGCUCAGUGGUAGAGCGCUUGCUUAGAAAGCACAAGGCCCUGGGUUCGGUCCCCAGCUCUG
Molecule: non-coding RNA, 69 nt
Organism: Rattus norvegicus (Norway rat)
Lineage: Eukaryota; Metazoa; Chordata; Mammalia; Rodentia; Muridae
Source: Rfam